RNAcentral lists this ribosomal RNA (780 nucleotides) under Triticum aestivum (bread wheat). RNAcentral's name for it is "partial small subunit ribosomal RNA". Lineage: Eukaryota; Viridiplantae; Streptophyta; Magnoliopsida; Poales; Poaceae. The record is from RNAcentral.
AUGGAGAAGCAGAAGCUGCGCCGUCUCGUGCGAGCACCACGCAGGGCCGCCGGCGAGGACCGCCUGAGCGCCCUUCCUGACGAGCUGAUCGGCCUCAUUGUGGGCAGGCUGGACACCCGCACCGCGCUCUCCACCGCCGUCCUCGCUAGGCGCUGGGCGCGUGUUCCUCGUGACCUGCCCGCUCUCGACUUCAGGGUCAGCGACAUACUCCCGCCAGAGUACGAUCAGGCCGUCGCUCUCCGCGAGGACAACCUGCCGCCUGACCCGGCCAUGGCCGGGAUCCGCGACGGUUUCUUGGCGCGCUGCGAGAUGGGCAGCACGAGGGCGUUGGCCGACGGAGUCACCAGCUUCUUGGCAGCCGACUGUGACGGCGACGCACCUCGCCGCGUCAAGACCCUCUGGCUCGAGUUAUUCCCCACGGAUCACGGCGGCUGCAUCGAGCGUCUGAUCGCCGCCGCUGUCGGCUCAUGGGGCGUGGAAGAUCUGGAGAUGGUCGUCAGACCAGCGUCCGGCCAUCAUGAUGGGCCCGCCUACCCCUUCCCCGACGACUGCCUCGACGACGGCGGGAGGUCGCGCCUUCGCAGCCUGACGCUCGGCAACACCACGCUCCCGCCGCUGCACAGCUACGAGGCGCUCACCACGCUCGUCUUGCAAGGCGUGGCCGCGUCCACGCCCGUCGCCGUCUACGAGAGGCUGUUCAGCGACCUCACACGGCUUCAGGUGCUGCAUCUCAUCUCAUGCAGCCGCACGGCGGACCUCGGUCAUCUGGUUCAGCUAUGA